GAUGAACGCUGGCGGCGUGCCUAAUACAUGCAAGUCGAGCGAACGGACGAGAAGCUUGCUUCUCUGAUGUUAGCGGCGGACGGGUGAGUAACACGUGGAUAACCUACCUAUAAGACUGGGAUAACUUCGGGAAACCGGAGCUAAUACCGGAUAAUAUUUUGAACCGCAUGGUUCAAAAGUGAAAGACGGCCUUGCUGUCACUUAUAGAUGGAUCCGCGCUGCAUUAGCUAGUUGGUAAGGUAACGGCUUACCAAGGCAACGAUGCAUAGCCGACCUGAGAGGGUGAUCGGCCACACUGGAACUGAGACACGGUCCAGACUCCUACGGGAGGCAGCAGUAGGGAAUCUUCCGCAAAGGGCGAAAGCCUGACGGAGCAACGCCGCGUGAGUGAUGAAGGUCUUCGGAUCGUAAAACUCUGUUAUUAGGGAAGAACAUAUGUGUAAGUAACUGUGCACAUCUUGACGGUACCUAAUCAGAAAGCCACGGCUAACUACGUG
RNAcentral lists this ribosomal RNA (497 nucleotides) under uncultured bacterium. Its description in RNAcentral is "partial 16S ribosomal RNA". It matches the Rfam family "Bacterial small subunit ribosomal RNA", at positions 28 to 507 of the family's 1533-position model. The record is from RNAcentral.